This 468-nucleotide ribosomal RNA is filed under the name uncultured bacterium. RNAcentral describes it as "partial 16S ribosomal RNA". It matches the Rfam family "Bacterial small subunit ribosomal RNA", at positions 28 to 507 of the family's 1533-position model. The record is from RNAcentral.
GACGAACGCUGGCGGCGUGCUUAACACAUGCAAGUCGAACGGAAAGGCCCUGCUUUUGUGGGGUGCUCGAGUGGCGAACGGGUGAGUAACACGUGAGUAACCUGCCCUUGACUUUGGGAUAACUUCAGGAAACUGGGGCUAAUACCGGAUAGGAGCUACUGCUGCAUGGUGGGGGUUGGAAAGUUUCGGCGGUUGGGGAUGGACUCGCGGCUUAUCAGCUUGUUGGUGGGGUAGUGGCUUACCAAGGCUUUGACGGGUAGCCGGCCUGAGAGGGUGACCGGCCACAUUGGGACUGGGAUACGGCCCAGACUCCUACGGGAGGCAGCAGUGGGGAAUAUUGCACAAUGGGCGGAAGCCUGAUGCAGCAACGCCGCGUGCGGGAUGACGGCCUUCGGGUUGUAAACCGCUUUCGCCUGUGACGAAGCGUGAGUGACGGUAAUGGGUAAAGAAGCACCGGCUAACUACGUG